Molecule: ribosomal RNA, 301 nt
Filed under: uncultured bacterium
Lineage: Bacteria
Description: partial 16S ribosomal RNA
Rfam family: Bacterial small subunit ribosomal RNA
Source: RNAcentral
CAGCCGCCGCGGUAAUACGAAGGGGGCUAGCGUUGCUCGGAAUUACUGGGCGUAAAGCGCACGUAGGCGGCUUGGUAAGUUAGAGGUGAAAGCCUGGGGCUCAACUCCAGAAUUGCCUUUAAGACUGCCGAGCUAGCAGGUGAGAGAGGUAAGUGGAAUUCCGAGUGUAGAGGUGAAAUUCGUAGAUAUUCGGAAGAACACCAGUGGCGAAGGCGGCUUACUGGCUCAUACUGGACGCUGAGGUGCGAAAGCGUGGGGAGCAAACAGGAUUAGAUACCCCUGUAGUCCCUGUCUCUUAUAC